CUCCAGCCCGGCUGGUGUGUUGGGGCCCCGUCCCCCUUCCCGGGGGGGACGGCCCGAAAGGCAGCGGCGGCACCGCGUCCGGUCCUCGAGCGUAUGGGGCUUUGUCACCCGCUCUUGUAGGCCCGGCCGGCGUCAGCCGACCCCCUCAAUCUAUUUUUCAGGUUGACCUCGGAUCAGGUAGGGAUACCCGCUGAACUUAA
Molecule: unclassified non-coding RNA, 200 nt
Filed under: soil metagenome
Description: partial contains internal transcribed spacer 2 and large subunit ribosomal RNA
Source: RNAcentral